GACGAACGCUGGCGGCGUGCUUAACACAUGCAAGUCGAACGGAAAGGCCCUGCUUGCAGGGUACUCGAGUGGCGAACGGGUGAGUAACACGUGGGUGAUCUGCCCUGCACUUCGGGAUAAGCCUGGGAAACUGGGUCUAAUACCGGAUAGGAGCCAUUUUUAGUGUGAUGGUUGGAAAGUUUUUUCGGUGUAGGAUGAGCUCGCGGCCUAUCAGCUUGUUGGGGGGUAAUGGCCUACCAAGGCGGCGACGGGUAGCCGGCCUGAGAGGGUGGACGGCCACAUUGGGACUGAGAUACGGCCCAGACUCCUACGGGAGGCAGCAGUGGGGAAUAUUGCACAAUGGGCGCAAGCCUGAUGCAGCGACGCCGCGUGGGGGAUGACGGCCUUCGGGUUGUAAACUCCUUUCGCUAGGGACGAAGCUUUUUGUGACGGUACCUAGAUAAGAAGCACCGGCUAACUACGUG
RNAcentral lists this ribosomal RNA (464 nucleotides) under uncultured bacterium. RNAcentral describes it as "partial 16S ribosomal RNA". It matches the Rfam family "Bacterial small subunit ribosomal RNA", at positions 28 to 507 of the family's 1533-position model. The record is from RNAcentral.